GGCUGGAAAUCAAGUCGAGAGUGAAAUCCAACGGCUCAACCGUUGAACUGCUCUCGAAACUGGUUACCUAGAAUAUGGGAGAGGUAGAUGGAAUUGGUGGUGUAGGGGUAAAAUCCGUAGAUAUCACCAGGAAUACCGAUUGCGAAGGCGAUCUACUGGAACAUUAUUGACGCUGAGGCAUGAAAGCGUGGGGAGCAAACAGGAUUAGAUACCCUGGUAGUCCACGCCCUAAACGAUGCACACUAGUUGUUGCGAUGCUAGUCAUUGCAGUAAUGCACUUAACAGAUUAAGUGUGCCGCCUGGGGAGUACGGUCGCAAGAUUAAAACUCAAAGGAAUAGACGGGGACCCGCACAAGCGGUGGAGCAUGUGGUUUAAUUCGAAGAUACACGAAGAACCUUACCUGGGCUUGAUAUCCUAAGAAUCCUGUAGAGAUAUGGGAGUGCUAGUUUACUAGAACUUAGAGACAGGUGCUGCACGGCUGUCGUCAGCUCGUGUCGUGAGAUGUUGGGUUAAGUCCCGCAACGAGCGCAACCCUCGUGAUUAGUUGCUAACAGUUCGGCUGAGCACUCUAAUCAGACUGCCUUCGCAAGGAGGAGGAAGGUGAGGACGACGUCAAGUCAUCAUGGCCCUUAUGCCCAGGGCUACACACGUGCUACAAUGGCUAGGACAAAGAGAAGCGAUACUGCGAAGUGGAGCAAAUCUUAAAACCUAGUCUCAGUUCGGAUUGGAGUCUGCAACUCGACUCCAUGAAGCUGGAAUCGCUAGUAAUCGUAGAUCAGAUAUGCUACGGUGAAUACGUUCCCGGGUCUUGUACUCACCG
This 821-nucleotide ribosomal RNA is filed under the name uncultured bacterium. RNAcentral's name for it is "bacterial SSU rRNA". It matches the Rfam family "Bacterial small subunit ribosomal RNA", at positions 574 to 1392 of the family's 1533-position model. The record is from RNAcentral.